UAGGGAAUCUUCGGCAAUGGGGGCAACCCUGACCGAGCAACGCCGCGUGAGUGAAGAAGGUUUUCGGAUCGUAAAGCUCUGUUGUAAGAGAAGAACGUGUGUGAGAGUGGAAAGUUCACACAGUGACGGUAACUUACCAGAAAGGGACGGCUAACUACGUGCCAGCAGCCGCGGUAAUACGUAGGUCCCGAGCGUUGUCCGGAUUUAUUGGGCGUAAAGCGAGCGCAGGCGGUUUAAUAAGUCUGAAGUUAAAGGCAGUGGCUUAACCAUUGUUCGCUUUGGAAACUGUUAGACUUGAGUGCAGAAGAGGAGAGUGGAAUUCCAUGUGUAGCGGUGAAAUGCGUAGAUAUAUGGAGGAACACCGGUGGCGAAAGCGGCUCUCUGGUCUGUAACUGACGCUGAGGCUCGAAAGCGUGGGGAGCAAACAG
RNAcentral lists this ribosomal RNA (428 nucleotides) under uncultured bacterium. RNAcentral's name for it is "bacterial SSU rRNA". It matches the Rfam family "Bacterial small subunit ribosomal RNA", at positions 355 to 775 of the family's 1533-position model. The record is from RNAcentral.